GCGGCCGUAGCUCAGUUGGACAGAGCGUCUGCCUCCGGAGCAGAAGGUCGCAGGUUCGAGUCCUGCCGGCCGCG
RNAcentral lists this transfer RNA (74 nucleotides) under Planctomycetota bacterium. RNAcentral's name for it is "Planctomycetes bacterium tRNA-Arg". It matches the Rfam family "tRNA". Rfam says of the family: Transfer RNA (tRNA) molecules are approximately 80 nucleotides in length. Their secondary structure includes four short double-helical elements and three loops (D, anti-codon, and T loops). Further hydrogen bonds mediate the characteristic L-shaped molecular structure. tRNAs have two regions of fundamental functional importance: the anti-codon, which is responsible for specific mRNA codon recognition, and the 3' end, to which the tRNAs corresponding amino acid is attached (by aminoacyl-tRNA synthetases). tRNAs cope with the degeneracy of the genetic code in two manners: having more than one tRNA (with a specific anti-codon) for a particular amino acid; and 'wobble' base-pairing, i.e. permitting non-standard base-pairing at the 3rd anti-codon position. Lineage: Bacteria; Pseudomonadati; Planctomycetota. The record is from RNAcentral.